UACGAAGGGGGCUAGCGUUGCUCGGAAUUACUGGGCGUAAAGGGAGCGUAGGCGGACAUUUAAGUCAGGGGUGAAAUCCCGGGGCUCAACCUCGGAAUUGCCUUUGAUACUGGGUGUCUUGAGUGUGAGAGAGGUAUGUGGAACUCCGAGUGUAGAGGUGAAAUUCGUAGAUAUUCGGAAGAACACCAGUGGCGAAGGCGACAUACUGGCUCAUUACUGACGCUGAGGCU
This 230-nucleotide ribosomal RNA is filed under the name uncultured microorganism. RNAcentral describes it as "partial 16S ribosomal RNA". It matches the Rfam family "Bacterial small subunit ribosomal RNA", at positions 524 to 753 of the family's 1533-position model. The record is from RNAcentral.